This 504-nucleotide ribosomal RNA is filed under the name uncultured bacterium. Its description in RNAcentral is "partial 16S ribosomal RNA". It matches the Rfam family "Bacterial small subunit ribosomal RNA", at positions 29 to 523 of the family's 1533-position model. The record is from RNAcentral.
AUUGAACGCUGGCGGCAGGCCUAACACAUGCAAGUCGAACGGUAGCACAGAGAGCUUGCUCUCGGGUGACGAGUGGCGGACGGGUGAGUAAUGUCUGGGAAACUGCCCGAUGGAGGGGGAUAACUACUGGAAACGGUAGCUAAUACCGCAUAACGUCGCAAGACCAAAGUGGGGGACCUUCGGGCCUCACACAAUCGGAUGUGCCCAGAUGGGAUUAGCUAGUAGGGGGGGUAAUAAUGCACCUAGGAGACGUACCCAAGCUGGUCUGAGAGGAUGACCAGCCAGACUGGAACUGGGACACGGUCCAGACUCCUACGGGAGGCAGCAGUGGGGAAUAUUGCACAAUGGGCGCAAGCCUGAUGCAGCCAUGCCGCGUGUAUGAAGAAGGCCUUCGGGUUGUAAAGUACUUUCAGCGGGGAGGAAGGCGGUGAAGUUAAUAACUUCACCGAUUGACGUUACCCGCAGAAGAAGCACCGGCUAACUCCGUGCCAGCAGCCGCCGUAA